AUUGAACGCUGGCGGCAGGCUUAACACAUGCAAGUCGAACGAUUGGCGGACGGGUGAUUAAUGCCUGGGAAACUUCCUGAUGGGGGGGGAUAACUACUGGAAACGUUAUCUAAUCCCGCAUACCCUCGUAUUGUCCCAGAUGGGAUUAGCUAGUAGGUGGGGUAAUGGCUCACCAAGGCGACGAUCCCUAGCUGGUCUGAGAGGAUGACCAGCCACACUGGAACGGAGACACGGUCCAGACUCCUACGGGAGGCAGCAGUGGGGAAUAUUGCACAAUGGGCGCAAGCCUGAUGCAGCCAUGCCGCGUGUAUGAAGAAGGCCUUCGGGUUGUAAAGUACUUUCAGCGGGGAGGCGUUACCCGCAGAAGAAGCACCGGCUAACUCCGUGCCAGCAGCCGCGGUAAUAC
RNAcentral lists this ribosomal RNA (406 nucleotides) under uncultured bacterium. RNAcentral describes it as "partial 16S ribosomal RNA". It matches the Rfam family "Bacterial small subunit ribosomal RNA", at positions 30 to 526 of the family's 1533-position model. The record is from RNAcentral.